RNAcentral lists this ribosomal RNA (485 nucleotides) under Cytospora sp. RM-2017b. Its description in RNAcentral is "eukaryotic LSU rRNA". The stretch from base 177 to 330 matches the Rfam family "5.8S ribosomal RNA". Lineage: Eukaryota; Fungi; Ascomycota; Sordariomycetes; Diaporthales; Cytosporaceae. The record is from RNAcentral.
AACCCUUUGUGAACUUAUCCCAAAACGUUGCCUCGGCGCUGGCUGCCCCUCCCCUCGGGGAGGGGGCCCGAAUCUCAGGUGGUCAAACACCCGGGAGGAGGACAGCAGGCCCGCCGGUGGCCCACCAAACUCUUGUAUUCUGAGUAACAUCUGAGUAAAGCUUCUAAAUGAAUCAAAACUUUCAACAACGGAUCUCUUGGUUCUGGCAUCGAUGAAGAACGCAGCGAAAUGCGAUAAGUAAUGUGAAUUGCAGAAUUCAGUGAAUCAUCGAAUCUUUGAACGCACAUUGCGCCCUCUGGUAUUCCAGAGGGCAUGCCUGUUCGAGCGUCAUUUCAACCCUCAAGCCUAGCUUGGUGUUGGGGCAUUGCCUUCCCUCGGGAGGGCAAGCCCUGAAAUUCAGUGGCGAGCUCGCCAGGACUCCGAGCGUAGUAGUAAAACCCUCGCUUUGGACUGUUCUGGCGCGGCCCUGCCGUAAAACCCCCAAC